GGGAAGGCUUCUGCGUGAAAGAAAAUUCAUGAGAACUUGUUUCUCGUGAAUUCAAAUAGGCGCAGGUGAGGUGAGGUGGCACAGGGAGAUAAGUCAAGGUGGUUUCAAAUCUAAUUGAACCAACCUUAUUAAAAUAGGUUAGGCACAAUUAGACUAAAUUAAAUCUAACAUAAUUAGACUUAAUUAGGCUCAAUAAAAUCCUAAUCAAAUUAGAAAUUGACUAAGCCCAACCCCUGAUCAAAUAAGGGACCAAACCACCUCGACGAUUAGGUUAACUCUUAACCUAAUCGGGUCAAACCCAACUGAAUCCAAUUCAAUUUGACUUGAUCCAAAAAUAAUUACUCAAUCAAAUUGAGUUAAUUAAUAACUAAAUCACUAAAUAAAUCUCUCAUAAAUAUUGAGUCCAAAUCCAAUGGGCAAUCGGGCAUCAGAGUCCAUCGAUAUAAA
RNAcentral lists this long non-coding RNA (447 nucleotides) under Elaeis guineensis (African oil palm). RNAcentral's name for it is "long non-coding RNA (EGUI_LNC050472)". Lineage: Eukaryota; Viridiplantae; Streptophyta; Magnoliopsida; Arecales; Arecaceae. The record is from RNAcentral.